UGGGGAAUUUUGCACAAUGGGGGAAACCCUGAUGCAGCGACGCCGCGUGAUUUAGAAGGCCUUCGGGUUGUAAAAAUCUUUUCUAUGGGAAGAAAAUGACAGUACCAUAGGAAUAAGGACCGGCUAAUUACGUGCCAGCAGCCGCGGUAAUACGUAAGGUCCGAGCGUUGUCCGGAAUCAUUGGGCGUAAAGGGUACGUAGGCGGGUAAGCAAGUUAGAAGUGAAAUCCUGUAGCUCAACUACAGUAAGCUUUUAAAACUGCUCAUCUUGAGAUAUGGAAGGGAAAGUGGAAUUCCUAGUGUAGCGGUGAAAUGCGCAGAUAUUAGGAGGAAUACCGGUGGCGAAGGCGACUUACUGGGCUCAUUCUGACGCUGAGGAACGAAAGCGUGGGUAGCAAACAGG
This 402-nucleotide ribosomal RNA is filed under the name Verrucomicrobiota bacterium. Its description in RNAcentral is "Verrucomicrobia bacterium partial 16S ribosomal RNA". It matches the Rfam family "Bacterial small subunit ribosomal RNA", at positions 355 to 776 of the family's 1533-position model. Lineage: Bacteria; Pseudomonadati; Verrucomicrobiota. The record is from RNAcentral.